Long non-coding RNA from Aedes albopictus (Asian tiger mosquito), 2776 nucleotides. RefSeq lists it as uncharacterized. The record is from RefSeq and is a predicted model, not a curated record. NCBI's taxonomy places the organism in Eukaryota, Metazoa, Arthropoda, Insecta, Diptera, Culicidae. The transcript has 3 exons.
GGUAUCGAAAGAUGACGAUUCUUAUGGAACUCCUUGGAAAAAUUCCGAGUGCUUAUUUAAGAAAAUUUAACGCUUUUUUAAUUUGACUUUUGUAAAGAAUUGGUAUCGAAAGAUUCUUAUGGAACUCCUUGAAGCAAUUCUGAGUGACUUUUGUUAAGAUCUGGUAUCGAAAGAUGAGUGCUUAAUUAAGAAAUGCUUUUAUAAUUUGACUUUUGUUAAGAGUUGUUAUCGUGAGAUGACGAUUUUUGUGGAACUCCUUGGAGCAAUUCUGAGUGCUUAUUUGAGAAAUUCUUGAAUAAUUUUACUUUAGAAUCGGUAUCGUAAGAUGACUAUUCAUAUUAAACUCCUUGGUGCAAUCCUUAAUGUUUAAUUAAGAAAUGCAUCAAUAACACUAGUUUACAAGCAUGUUUGAGCUCGGUAAGCUGAUGAUCAUUUUUGUUGUUGAAUCAUGCCCUGAGUUCGAAAACGCGAAGGAAAAAAAAAUACAGUAGAGCCGAAUUUUUUUCGACUUUCCAUACAAGGUUGAUAAUUUGAAAUCGAUUUUUGUUCUAUUUUUAAGCAAAGUCGCUCACUUCACACAUCUCAUUCUCCGUAAUCAAUGCUCCGAUUUAGCUGAAUUUUUUACUCUAACUCGCCUUUUUUCUUAUUGAAAAAAAAAAUAUAUUUCUUCAUAUAAAUUUGGAAAUUUUGCUAAAAUUUAAGGAGAUCGUCCCCAAAACUCGCCACUAUCUUGAAUUUCAUCAAUCUGACGCAAAACCUGCAUUCAGAUAAUUGAAAUGUAUUAUAUUUAGCUUUUAAUUAACUGAAAAAGAUUUAAAAUUUGUUUAACAAAACGCAAGAUAUUUGAAUUUUAUUAAAUUCCAUAUAUUAAAAAGUUGUAAAACUCCAUAUUGAGCUAAAACUCAAAAACUGCUCUACUUAAAAUUUUUUGAAGCACGGUUUCGAAAUCAGCGCUAAAUUAUGCUUCAGGAAUUUUGGUCGUUGACAGGAGUUUUAUUUUGUAAACUAGUGUAAUCUGACUUUUGUUAAGAAUUGUUGUCGCAAGCAGCCUGAGACGAGACUCGCGAAGAGGAAAAAAAGCAACGUCAAGUGCAGCCCAACUGAGCUGUCAGUUGUAGCCCGUUUGAUUACGUUACCUAAAACGAGGAAAGUAUUGCUGUCCGAGAUAAAUUCUGAAGCCAAAAUUCACUCCGAGCAGCAUUUUCUUCUCCUGUACUGUCAAAAAUAAAUUGAAAACAAAAUAUUUUAACCUGAUUUUGUGCGUGAAUGGGAUUCAGUCACACUGCAUGUGAGGUGAUGCGGUCACGUACGUGUUUGAACCACCAGCCCAAAACAUAAUGUCAACACAGAUAGGAAGAAGAAAAAAAUAACAAAGUGGAGAAAAAGAAGACCGUCUUCGCGAGUCUCGUCUCAGAUUGCAGCAACCCAUUUAUUUUUGGAGAAAAAUUAAGUUUGUUUGAAGAAAAAAGGAGUGCAGACUUUGGCCAAAAUCAUUAUCAUCAAAUUCGAGAGGAUUAUUGGAUGAAAACUGUGCUGAAAAUGUUGAAAUGAAUGAUUCUCUAGUUAAUUUUUAUUGUACCAGCAAGUUUGAGCCCUAAUAACGUAACAUGAACAUUACAUCUUUUUGUGCGAGCGAAUUCCUGUGGUGGAAACAUGGGUUGACCGCGGAGGCACGUGCCUGGGACAUCCAUACGAAGAAGUUUAUAGUGAAGUGGUUAUAUUAUUUUGUCACGGAAAAUAAUUAUUGACGGACUUCAAUGAGUAUACCGUUUCAGAAGCAUUCUGCAUUUAGACAGCUGAAGUAUUAAAACAUAUUUUGGUUCAUAAUUAAGAUUCAAUACAUUUUUCUCAUAUAUUUGAUGGCAAAAUUAAUCUUACAAAAGCAAUGUUCUAAUUGAAAUAAAAUAAACGUAUAUUACUGUAGGCUUAACGAUUUACCUUACUUACUUACUUAUCGUAAGUUUUUAUUGUUGUAUGUUCGACAUAAGUAAAAUAUUGUAAAACACCAACAGAGUGAUGAUGAUUAACCUGAUUAAGUCGAGUCAAGUACAAGACACUGAAGACGACCUUACAGUUGAGGUCGAAAUACGUAUCUGUCAAAGGAUGCAAAUUCUUAGUGGAAUUCAAAGGAACCGUACUUAACCCGAUUUUCUUUUAUUUACCAACAGAGUAUAAAUGCCUGAAUAAUAAAUUUUGUUAAAAUAGAACUAACGUUAGUUUCUUUGUUUUUUUUUUUCCAUUUAAAAAAAUUAAAAAAAAAAUGACAAGUAAUAGACAACGUGAGUAUUCCACAAUAUAAUAAAUCCUCGAUUGACCGAUACGUUUGAAUAAUUCUGUUUUGUAUCUUCAUAGGAAACCUGUAAAUAUCAGCAAACAAAUGAACGAAUCAUUUUUCAGAAGAUUAGGGCCUGUUGUGUUCUUAUGCAAAAUUAAUAAUACCUUUGAAAUCAGGUAAAAAUAUUAUGAUAAAAUUAAAGUUCACAUAACUGAGGGUAUAUUUUUUUACAGAUCCUCGAGGUCACUGGCUGCGGAAUGGAACAAAAACCCCAUCCAUCCUGAAUCGUGUCUUUCGCCUUCAUGCCAAUCAUCAACUUUCUUUUUGGAAACUACAAGAGAAAAACGCAGAUAAUAAUAACACAAAAACAAUAAAAAAAAAUUAAAAAAAUAAUGGAAAAAUAAAAAAUAGAAGAAGAAUUUAUUGCAUUAUAUUAAAAUCAUCAUUAUGAAAAUGCUAAAAACAUUUUUCUACAUUAUAAUAUAAAAACAAUAAAAACAA